UACGUAGGGUGCGAGCGUUAAUCGGAAUUACUGGGCGUAAAGCGUGCGCAGGCGGUUUGUUAAGACAGGUGUGAAAUCCCCGGGCUUAACCUGGGAAUGGCGCUUGUUACUGGCAGGCUAGAGUGUGUCAGAGGGAGGUAGAAUUCCACGUGUAGCAGUGAAAUGCGUAGAGAUGUGGAGGAAUACCGAUGGCGAAGGCAGCCUCCUGGGAUAACACUGACGCUCAUGCACGAAAGCGUGGGGAGCAAACAGG
Molecule: ribosomal RNA, 253 nt
Filed under: uncultured bacterium
Lineage: Bacteria
Description: partial 16S ribosomal RNA
Rfam family: Bacterial small subunit ribosomal RNA
Source: RNAcentral